GAUGAACGCUGGCGGCGUGCCUAAUACAUGCAAGUCGAGCGAACAGACGAGGAGCUUGCUCCUCUGACGUUAGCGGCGGACGGGUGAGUAACACGUGGAUAACCUACCUAUAAGACUGGGAUAACUUCGGGAAACCGGAGCUAAUACCGGAUAAUAUAUUGAACCGCAUGGUUCAAUAGUGAAAUACGGUUUUGCUGUCACUUAUAGAUGGAUCCGCGCCGCAUUAGCUAGUUGGUAAGGUAACGGCUUACCAAGGCAACGAUGCGUAGCCGACCUGAGAGGGUGAUCGGCCACACUAGAAGUGAGACACGGUCCAGACUCCUGCGGGAGGCAGCAGUAGGGAAUCUUCCGCAAUGGGCGAAAGCCUGACGGAGCAACGCCGAGUGAGUGAUGAAGGUCUUCGGAUCGGAAAGCUCUGUUAUUAGGGAAGAACAAAUGUGUAAGUAACUAUGCACGUCUUGACGGUACCUAAUCAGAAAGCCACGGCUAACUACGUG
RNAcentral lists this ribosomal RNA (497 nucleotides) under uncultured bacterium. RNAcentral describes it as "partial 16S ribosomal RNA". It matches the Rfam family "Bacterial small subunit ribosomal RNA", at positions 28 to 507 of the family's 1533-position model. The record is from RNAcentral.